AUAUAGUGUUAGUUGUUGCAACAUAUUUUUGCAGCUCAGAACUGAUCAGUGUUUUCUGAAAUCCCCAUUAAACUUUUUACUUUGGUGUUUGGUGAGAUAUUUCCCAUUAAGCUUAAAUAACAAACAAGUUUGAUUGUUAGUACUAAAAAAAUUCCCACUGCUUUGCACAAUAGAUUUAUACAUUUAACUGCUCAUCCCCAAUGUCCUGCCCAUGCUCUCUCUCUCUCUCUCUCUCUCUCUCUCUCUCUCUCUCUCUCUCUCAAGAUGCAACGGGUAUCCAAAUCCAGCAGCCAAAAAUCAGUUUCAUUCCAUGUAUUUUUCAAGAUCAAAAUCCUAACUGGAAGUUUCUUCAAUACUUGAUUAACAAAGACAGCUUUAUUUCUUAAUAUGAUCCAAUCAGACGCCUAAAGUAUUCCAAUUUGACGUUUUGCACCGUAUUGGCUUUAACAAAUUUUCUGUUGGUUUAGCUUCUGAGGUCUUGAUGGCAAUCUGUUUUUGCGACUUGCAUUUUAUUGCAGCAUUCUAGCAGGCAUUCCACCACUUGAACAGCAACCGACCCAGCGGCUUUUACAGGAGCCCUUUAGGAUUUUAUUACCCGUCAGUACACCACACCACAUGUUACCUCACCUCAACAUCAUCAGCAUCAUCUCGAGAUGGUAGAACUUGUUGCAAUUUCAUUUCAUUUGUUUAGGAGAUGGUAUGAGAGAAAGGGUGUUAAUCCUUAUAGGAAGAUGUGAAGACAUAAACGAAGAGAGAAGAAAUAGUGGUGUCAUUGAUGUUAGUGGAUGAUUCUUAAUUGGCAGGGUAUGAACACUGUUCUGAUCGUGAAAGAUGGAGGUAUAUCAGAGACGAGUAUACGCAAACCACCUCCAUACUUGCCUCCCCCUAAUGACUCACCUACCAUUCAAGAUUCGGCUGGAGAAGUAGAUGGAUUUUGACGUGAUAGAACUAUAAGUUGUAGAUUGAAGACCCUUUGAG
This 978-nucleotide long non-coding RNA is filed under the name Prunus dulcis (almond). RNAcentral's name for it is "sRNA ncRNA". Lineage: Eukaryota; Viridiplantae; Streptophyta; Magnoliopsida; Rosales; Rosaceae. The record is from RNAcentral.